AACCAUUCUCACCUGCGGCUAGACCUGCGGAGGGAUCAUUAUAGGAAAUUUUCAAAUACCCAAGUUGUGAGGGGGGAGGAGGGAGGUUGGAAUGGAAUGGAAGGGGUCCUUUCUUUCUUUCUUUCUUUCCGGCUUUUUUUCCCCUCUUGCUUCUUCAAACAAACUAUCGCAACUAUAACAAAAGAGGGGAAUUGACUUGGUUAUAUUUUCUAUAAGAAAAGAAAAAAGUGCUUGCCUGAU
Molecule: unclassified non-coding RNA, 240 nt
Filed under: soil metagenome
Description: partial contains 5.8S ribosomal RNA, internal transcribed spacer 2, and large subunit ribosomal RNA
Source: RNAcentral